This 1446-nucleotide ribosomal RNA is filed under the name uncultured Bordetella sp. RNAcentral's name for it is "partial 16S-23S ribosomal RNA intergenic spacer". It matches the Rfam family "Bacterial small subunit ribosomal RNA". Lineage: Bacteria; Pseudomonadati; Pseudomonadota; Betaproteobacteria; Burkholderiales; Alcaligenaceae. The record is from RNAcentral.
GGUUUGAUUAUGGCUCAGAUUGAACGCUGGCGGGAUGCUUUACACAUGCAAGUCGAACGGCAGCACGGACUUCGGUCUGUGGCGAGUGGCGAAUGAAAAGAGUGUUGGCCUGAACCGCUUCAGAAGCGGGGAUAACUACGCGAAAGCGUAGCUUGUUGCAGCAGUGCUGCUCUCGGGAAAGUAGACCUCUGGCCUCGCAUCACAGAGCGGCCGAUAUCGGAUUAGCGAGUUAGGGUAACGGCUCACCACAUGACGAUCCGUAGCUGGUCGAGGAUGACCAGCCACACUGGGACUGAGACACGGCCCAGACUCCUACGGGAGGCAGCAGUGGGAAUUUUGGACAAUGGGGAAACCCUGAUCCAGCCAUCCUGCGUAAAGAGAAGGCCUCGGGUUGUGGAAGUAAUUUUUGGCAGGAGUUGAAAACGGCACGGGAUAUCCCGCAACUGACGGUACUCUGCAGAAUAAGCACCGGCUAACUACAAAGCCAGCAGCCGCGGUAAUACGUAGGGUGCGUUAAUCGGAAUUACUGGGCGUAAGCGUGCGCAGGCGGUUCGGCAGUGAUAAAUCAGAGCUUAACUUGGAACUGCAUUUUUAACUAUCGAGUUAAGUGUGUCAGAGGAGGUGGAAUUCCGCGUGUAGCAGUGAAAUACGUAGAUAUGCGGAGGAACACCGAUGGCGAAGGCAGCCUCCUGGGAUAACACUGACGUCACAUGAAAGUGGGGAGCAAACAGGAUUAGAUACCCUCUGGUAGUCCACGCCCUAAACGAUGUCAACUAGCUGUUGGGGCCUUCGGGCCUUGAAAGCGCAGCUAACGCAGAAGUUGACCGCCUGGGGAGUAUUAUCGCAAGAUUAAAACCCAAAGGAAUUGACGGGGACUCCGCACAAGCGGUGGAUGAUGUGGAUUACCUGAUGCAACGCGAAAACCUUACCUACCCUUGACAUGUCUGGAAUCCCGAAGAGAUUUGGGAGUGCCGCAGAGAACUUUGAACACAGGUGCUGCAUGGCUAUUGUCAGCUCGUGUCGUGAGAUGUUGGGUUAAGUCCUGCAACGAGCGCAACCCUUGUCAUUAGUUACAAGUGAAAGGGCACUCUAAUGAGAUGCUGUGACAAACCGAGGAAGGUGGGGAUGACGUCAAGUCCUCAUGGCCCUUUAUGGGUAGGGCUUCACACGUCAUACAAUGGUCAGACAGAGGGUCGCCAACUCCGCGAGGGGGAGCCAAUCCCAGAAACCCGAUCAGAACUCGAUCGCGAGCUUGUAACUCGACUGGUGCAGUCGGAAUCGCUAGUAAUCGCGGAUCAGCAUGUCGCGGUGAAUACGUUCCCGGUUUUCAGCGAUGACCCGCCCGCCUGGCACCUAUGGGCGGCUUUACCAUGAAGUUGGCUCAACCGGGCGGAAGGACACGAUGAGAGAUCUGGCGACCGGGGUGAAGCUGGGAAUACGGGGUAA